UACGUAGGGGGCUAGCGUUAUCCGGAAUUACUGGGCGUAAAGGGUGCGUAGGUGGUUUCUUAAGUCAGAGGUGAAAGGCUACGGCUCAACCGUAGUAAGCCUUUGAAACUGGGAAACUUGAGUGCAGGAGAGGAGAGUGGAAUUCCUAGUGUAGCGGUGAAAUGCGUAGAUAUUAGGAGGAACACCAGUUGCGAAGGCGGCUCUCUGGACUGUAACUGACACUGAGGCACGAAAGCGUGGGGAGCAAACAGGAUUAGAUGCCCUGGUAGUCCCUGA
RNAcentral lists this ribosomal RNA (276 nucleotides) under uncultured prokaryote. Its description in RNAcentral is "partial 16S ribosomal RNA". It matches the Rfam family "Bacterial small subunit ribosomal RNA", at positions 524 to 800 of the family's 1533-position model. The record is from RNAcentral.